UACGGAAGGGGCAAGCGUUGUUCGGAAUCAUUGGGCGUAAAGGGCGCGUAGGCGGUUCUGUAUGUCUACCGUGAAAGCGUACGGCUCAACCGUAUUUUGUCGGUAGAAACUGCAGGACUUGAGGCUGGGAGGGGCUGGUGGAAUUCCCUGUGUAGCGGUGAAAUGCGUAGAGAUGGGGGAGAACACUCGUGGCGAAGGCGGCCAGCUAGACCAGUUCUGACACUGAGGCGCGACAGCGUGGGGAGCAAACAGG
This 253-nucleotide ribosomal RNA is filed under the name uncultured bacterium. RNAcentral's name for it is "partial 16S ribosomal RNA". It matches the Rfam family "Bacterial small subunit ribosomal RNA", at positions 524 to 776 of the family's 1533-position model. The record is from RNAcentral.